RNAcentral lists this ribosomal RNA (274 nucleotides) under uncultured bacterium. Its description in RNAcentral is "partial 16S ribosomal RNA". It matches the Rfam family "Archaeal small subunit ribosomal RNA", at positions 473 to 747 of the family's 1478-position model. The record is from RNAcentral.
AAACCAGCACCUCAAGUGGUCAGGAGGAUUAUUAAGCCUAAAGCAUCUGUAGCCUGUUCUAUAAGUUUCCGGUUAAAUCCACUAGCUCAACUAGUGGGCUGCCGAAAAUACUGUAGAACUAGGGAGUGGGAGAGGUAGACGGUAUUCGGUAGGAAGGGGUAAAAUCCUUUGAUCUAUUGAGGACCACCUGUGGCGAAGGCGGUCUACCAGAACACGUUCGACGGUGAGGGAUGAAAGCUGGGGGAGCAAACCGGAUUAGAAACCCCGGUAGUCC